UCAAAACCAAACAGCCCUAAUUUAAACUUUCAUCUCCUCUCUCUCUUCAACCAUAGCCGCCAUGUCCCAUCUCCGCCAGCUCCACCAGCUCCACCAUCGGACCGCUGGUCCUCGACGCCACCGCCAUCACAUCUCCUCAGUCCCCUCACCCUUUCUACGAGAUUAUAGAGCCAUUAAUGCUCUGCAAACUAGCUUGUUCAACUUCCAAAGAGGGCAAAUGUGAGAAUCUUGUGAAUACAAGGAUGAUUCGAUGGAUAACUGCCUCACCCCAUCUUCAAAGCUCGGUUUGCUAAGAAACCUUUCGGAUUUUUGGCCCCAACAGCUCUUUCCUUUCACUUCACCUCUGAAAAAGGACCAUUUGGAGCGGAUUCGAAGACUCGACGACGACAAAUAGCCUUAGUUCGUUGUCCCGGAGAAGGUCAGUAAAUCGUCUUCUCCGCCGCUUUGUUUUCAGUUACAUAGCUUUGUUGUUUAUUUUGAUUUAUGCCUGCCUGGACUUGUUUGUCGUUACUCCCUCUGAAUUUAUGAAAUAAUGAUUAAGGGUGUUUAAAGAAACUAUUUACUAAUGGGCAGAACCCGCGAACAAAUUUGUCACUCGCACAAAUCUUUGCUAUGGAUAUUCAUUAGAAGUUGUAGUGGUUGUCUUUUAUCAGCGUGUAGAGGAUUAACAUGAAUUAUAGUUUCUGUUAAAAAGAAUAGAGAAUACUUGAUUGAGAUUUGCGACUAUGUAAUUCACUGCUUCCUUUUUUUUUGGUCUUUGUAAAAUAUUAUGCUAAGGUCAACAGUGAUUGAUCCUAGUGUUUCAACUUCAAUCAGUUUUCUUGGUCAUGUUUUGUCAAUAAGGGGUUGUUUGGUAAAGUGGGUGGGACAAGUUUUUGUGAAAAUACUUUUUUUUUUUUUGGAGAAUUGGGUGUUCAGGAUUUUAAGGUUUUUAGGUCCUUGAUCUGAUUUGUAUGUUUGGGUUGUUUGGUGAAGUGGGUAAAGACAAGUUUAAUACCAUUAUUGUAAAGAUUCUAGCUUUUGCAGAAUUGGGUAUUUGGAGUUUUGAGGUUUUGUUGAUCUGGUUUGUCUUAUUUAAGUGAUUGGUGAAGUGGUUAAGACAAGUUUUAAUUCUCAUAUUGUAAAGAUUCUAGCUUUUUAGAGAAUUGGGUAUUUGUUUUUUUUUUUUUUUUGAGGUUUUCUUGAUUUGGUUUGUCUUACUUAAGUGAUUGGUUAAGUAUGGGAAGAACUUAUCUUAAGUUGACAUUGUGCUAUGUUAGAAGGUAAAAAUGGGUUUCUUAUGUGAACUUUGAAGAAUUUAUGUUAAAUAUGUAAUCACUCUCGUCUACAUUUUUUUUUUAAUUUAUUAGAAAUAAAAUGUAGUUGUUAAAUUUUGUUGAUAAUGUUGUCUACUUGAAUCUAUUGCUGCUCUGUUGUGCCUUAAGUCUAUACAGAGGAUCAGUAAUACGGACUAAUAACACUUAGAAAAACUAUACUUGUUGAUCAUAUGAACAACCGUACCGCUGGUUUAAGUUCUGUUUUAAAAUUCCUAAAAAAUGGACUGCUUCGAAGUGUACUGCAUGAGGGUCAGGUCACUGUGCUUCCGUGGACAUAUACUAGGUAGUUUUGGUUUGCUUACGUUCACUCAUGAGAAUUAAUAGAUUAACCUGAAGGUUCAAACUUGGUAAAGGACAUUAGGAGGUAAUCUAUUGUCCCUUUUUUGGUAAAACUUCCCUGUUGAAUGUUACUACUCGUUCAAGUUCUCUAAAAAAAAAAAAAAAAAACUGGAAUCUGUAUUUUCUUUUAGAUAAAUUCCGAGUGUUCAAAUGGCCAUGUUCUCUUAGUCUCUGAAAUGGUUAAAACUCAUCCCAACGUACCGGUUGCGCUUAAAAUAGGUUAAUUAGCAUGUAAAUGUACCUCUCUUGUGUGGUUAAAUUCUUGCUUUAAAAAACCAUCUUUUACUUCAAAAGCGAUGUGUUAGUCUAGCUAAGAAAAUAAAUUGUUAGGUGUAUCUUUUCUAGAAUAUGGUCAUCUCGUUUGUAAGAAUCUUUAAUAUCUAUGUUGCACAUCUAGAACAAACUUACACUUGAAAACGAGCCUUCGGUCUAUCCUUUGAUAUUGUUUCCUGCUCAAAUCAUGACUUGGGGAAUUUUGCUUAUCUAAGCAUGAAAGCCAAACUUGUGUUGAGAAUCUGAAAAUAAUGGCUGUCAACUCUUUCUCUAGAAAAACCUUUGCGUAACGAGUACGUGCCAAACAUAAUUUCUAUGCUAAAAUCUGGUUCAGCAUGUUGUGUGUUCCGGUAUGUUUUAUGGGUUAGAAAUAAAGUCCUAGGCUUUGAAAUUUUACAUUAACAGCGGGCCAUUACAUAUUCAAGUUAGAUCACAUGUGUUAGCUUUUCUUACGGGUUAGGCAUGCUUUCACCCUUCCUUCUUUGUUGUGAUUCAUACUGGCUUUGCUCUAAGUUUAGUUGGUCUAUAGUGUUAUACUCAGUCGGAAUGGAUCCCUAGCAUUGUUGCAAAUAAAUUGAGGUGUUAACUGGGUGUGAGAAGAAGAGUCCUUACUUAAAUGAAUCUGUCCCAAAGGGGAAAUCCAAACCUCCCUUUUCUCAAAACUAUCUGUUGCCAUACAUGCUUUAACUGAAUGAAAUGUUCAAAAUUGGCUACUGAUUUUUUUUUUCAAAUAAUUGGUUCAACUCUAGUAUUCCUUAUAUCUUUGAGAAAUAUUUUGAAUGAUCCAAUCUAACUCUUUAAAGUUGGUUUAAGUUCACGAGUUUGCUAAAUAUGUCAUCUUCUAGUUUUGCGUCUUUGAAGCUCCAUUUGUUUAGAAAUAUGACUACAAGAUUCUAGAUGAACAGUGGUUACUCUAAAUCAUUGGCUGCAUAUCCAGUUCAAUUAUCAUUUUAUUUCUUAGUUUGGUUUGUAUAAAUGUCCUCUACAAUUUGUUGGAUGUUAUGCCUAAGCUAUUAAGUACUUCUACCUCAUUAUAGAUGCCGCGUUUUUUUUUUUUUUUUUUCUCAUAUUUUGCCGCUUAUUUGUCUUGUUAUAUGCACCUAAUCCUUUUCUUUUCUUUCUUUUCACAUGAACACCAUGGGAGUUUGUUGGAGUUGUGGCUCAACUCUAAUUCUGCCCAGGUCAUAGGAGCAGCCAGUAGCAGAUUUAUUUGCUCGUGUCUAGUCGUCCUCUAUUUUCGCGUCAAGAGAAUCCAGCGUUUCCUUCCUUCCUCUCCUCAGAAUUUUAUCUUUUGUAUCAAUAUAUAUCCUUUGACUAAUGAUGAUACUAAUUUGGUGUUGUAUUUGUGCAUUUGUUGUUCUUGAUGGGGUUCGUAAGAACCAAUUCAGACACGAUAGUGAGACAUAAGUCAUUUUUCUCCCCCCUCUCGUUAGGUAUUGAAUUCGGUAUAGGUACACUUAAGAGUGAGGGCAUUUGUUAAACGAUUUCCGGUUACCACUUGA
This is a long non-coding RNA of Lycium barbarum (goji berry), 3430 nucleotides long. RefSeq lists it as uncharacterized. NCBI's taxonomy places the organism in Eukaryota, Viridiplantae, Streptophyta, Magnoliopsida, Solanales, Solanaceae. The transcript has 2 exons. The record is from RefSeq and is a predicted model, not a curated record.